Molecule: ribosomal RNA, 497 nt
Filed under: uncultured bacterium
Lineage: Bacteria
Description: partial 16S ribosomal RNA
Rfam family: Bacterial small subunit ribosomal RNA
Source: RNAcentral
GACGAACGCUGGCGGCGUGCCUAAUACAUGCAAGUAGAACGCUGAAGCUUGGUGCUUGCACCGAGCGGAUGAGUUGCGAACGGGUGAGUAACGCGUAGGUAACCUGCCUGGUAGCGGGGGAUAACUAUUGGAAACGAUAGCUAAUACCGCAUAAGAGUAGAUGUUGCAUGACAUUUGCUUAAAAGGUGCAAUUGCAUCACUACCAGAUGGACCCGCGUUGUAUUAGCUAGUUGGUGAGGUAACGGCUCACCAAGGCAACGAUACAUAGCCGACCUGAGAGGGUGAUCGGCCACACUGGGACUGAGACACGGCCCAGACGCCUACGGGAGGCAGCAGUAGGGAAUCGUCGGCAAUGGACGGAAGUCUGACCGAGCAACGCCGCGUGAGUGAAGAAGGUUUUCGGAUCGUAAAGCUCUGUUGUAAGAGAAGAACGAGUGUGAGAGUGGAAAGUUCACACUGUGACGGUAUCUUACCAGAAAGGGACGGCUAACUACGUG